GGGGUUGGUAAACUUGAAAUGAAAGCUUCUUUAACUUCAAGAAGGCUCUUUGCUUAGGACUAAAAUGAAUGCUUGAAACACCUUCUUUAUUCCCUCCUUUAAGUGUCUUUUAUAGCUUCAAAUGAUGGUGAAGAAUGAUCUGGAUAGUUUUAGAGCCGUUGGAAAUCAUUAAAUGAGCAUUAAAUGCGUCAAAACGAGUUAAAAAACUAGUCGUUACGGAGUUUUUUCGUCGCAGGGGUCGACUCAUAGGGUCAACUCAUACAUAUGAGUCGACUCAUGGGGUCGAUUUCUGUGGCACAGAACAUAAAAUGAUUGUUCUGUAAUUUUGGCAUGCAC
Molecule: long non-coding RNA, 336 nt
Filed under: Elaeis guineensis (African oil palm)
Lineage: Eukaryota; Viridiplantae; Streptophyta; Magnoliopsida; Arecales; Arecaceae
Description: long non-coding RNA (EGUI_LNC019969)
Source: RNAcentral